AUUCCGGUUGAUCCUGCCGGAGGCCAUUGC
This 30-nucleotide ribosomal RNA is filed under the name Halobacterium salinarum. Its description in RNAcentral is "partial ribosomal RNA". The record is from RNAcentral. Lineage: Archaea; Methanobacteriati; Methanobacteriota; Halobacteria; Halobacteriales; Halobacteriaceae.